GCUUCUUAAUUUGUCAUAAACCCACUGUGGGCAAGGGCCUUGUCUUAGUCACUGUAGGUACAUGCUAGGUGCUCAA
This 76-nucleotide microRNA precursor is filed under the name Pongo abelii (Sumatran orangutan). RNAcentral's name for it is "miRNA". Lineage: Eukaryota; Metazoa; Chordata; Mammalia; Primates; Hominidae. The record is from RNAcentral.